RNAcentral lists this transfer-messenger RNA (369 nucleotides) under Propionibacteriaceae bacterium. It matches the Rfam family "transfer-messenger RNA". Rfam says of the family: Bacterial tmRNA, also known as 10Sa RNA or SsrA, is named for its dual tRNA and mRNA-like properties. Its role is to liberate the mRNA from a stalled ribosome. Lineage: Bacteria; Bacillati; Actinomycetota; Actinomycetes; Propionibacteriales; Propionibacteriaceae. The record is from RNAcentral.
GGGGAUGACUGGUUUCGACUUGGAACGGUAGUUCUAGGAGAAGCGGGCCGAGGACUCAGGGUUAUCUCGUAAACGAUCCUUGAAACCCAUAAGUGCCAACAAUGUUCGCACUGACUUCGCUCUCGCUGCCUGAUCAGCGAUCGAAGGGUCAGCCUGGGAGCGCCUCCGCCCCAGUGACUGGCCUCAUUUAGGAGGCUCACCUGCCGGCUUUUGUCUUAGGAGUCGGUCAGGGACAUUCAUAAGACUGGGCUUGUUCAUGAAGUGCUUUGAGAAACAUGAGAGCCAAGUAAGACGCUAACAAAAGCUGCGCCCGGAGAAUGCUUAGAUCGCCUUUUAAGGACGGGGGUUCGACUCCCCCCAUCUCCACCC